This 368-nucleotide ribosomal RNA is filed under the name Cryptosporidium sp. RNAcentral's name for it is "partial small subunit ribosomal RNA". It matches the Rfam family "Eukaryotic small subunit ribosomal RNA", at positions 583 to 975 of the family's 1831-position model. The record is from RNAcentral. Lineage: Eukaryota; Apicomplexa; Conoidasida; Eucoccidiorida; Cryptosporidiidae.
UUCCAGCUCCAAUAGCGUAUAUUAAUGUUGUUGCAGUUAAAAAAGCUCGUAGUUGGAUUUCUGUUUGGAUUUGGGUGUGAGACUUAUGUCAAGCGCUCAGACCAAGCAUUCUUCUACUCCCAGUGGUAACACUGGUGCGGUAGAGCCUUUACUUUGAGAAAAUUAGAGUGUUUCAAGCAAGCCUUUGCUUUGAAUACUACAGCAUGGAAUAAUACAAUAGGACUUCGGGCCUAUUUGUUGGUUUCUGGCCUGAAGUAAUGAUUAAUAGGGACAGUUGGGGGCAUUCGUAUUCGACAGUCAGCGGUGAAAUGCUUUGAUUUGUUGAAGACGAACUACUGCGAAAGCAUUUGCCAAAGAUGUUUUCAUCA